Molecule: long non-coding RNA, 864 nt
Filed under: Anas platyrhynchos platyrhynchos (common mallard)
Lineage: Eukaryota; Metazoa; Chordata; Aves; Anseriformes; Anatidae
Description: lncRNA (ENSAPLG00000022324.1)
Source: RNAcentral
UUUUUUUUCUCCUGCCCAGCAGUGCGCUGCUGCUGCAAACGCAUAGGAACCAUAGGGCAAAUACCUACAACCACCAAAUGGCACAAUCACAGCACUCAGCCACUGCAGUCCCUAAUGACCACCUCCCCAGCAGUUUUCAGAGCCAUCCCUUUUGCUAUGGGUGAGGUAUCUGACAGGGAAAGGUUUGGGUCACAGGCCAGGCCACCCCCAGGCUGGUUAAGGACACCCAGGGUGGGGACAAGUAUUACAAGAAAAGCACUGCAGGAGAUCAUUUCCGAACCAUGCUGAGAUUACACCCAACACAACAGGUUGCCAGUGACCGAGCAGUGAAAUCAUGUAGCAUUGCAACCUCUGUCAUGCAGUGCCAGUGAGGAAAGCCCCCAUGACAUAGGCCUUGUCAAAGCAUCUCUCCUGUUUUUCAGGAUGCUCCAGUGAAGCUCAUCCUCAACUGCUGAAUGGCUGAGAUGCUAAGGUAAAGAUCAUGACCUUUCCUGAGAGGAGAUGGGACACUGCAGGCCCUUGAUCACCCCUGGAAAAGAUCCUACCAUCAACCUGCUGAAGACCUGGUUCUGGUAUCACCAGCUCCAUCCCAGAACGGGGGCAUGUGUAAUGCAGAACACUGUUACAGAAAACACAUGGAAAAACAUAUCCCCAGUGGUUUGGGUGAGAAGAAAGUUAACAUCAGCCCUAAAACAUAUGAAACAAAAAGGAAAGUCUAACAUCUUUCCACUUGAAAAUGGUGAGCUUUCUUGUUGUCAUUUGGCUGAUUGCCAAGCUUUACCAGCUGGGUGCUACAGGGUAACAGGGAGCAUGGCAACACAGACUUGCAGGUCUCUCAUCAGCCACGCUAUUCACUAUGCCUAG